AUCAUCACCAAACCUAGACUCUGCUGUAUCAAACCAUACAUGGGCAUUUAUAGAUACACUUUAUUUGCUGCCUUGAAACCUUGGGCUCAGUAGGUUGUUGUUUUUUUAAGAAUCAUGCUGUAAACCAAAACCCAUCAUUCAGUUUUUCAGAAGGAUUAUCCAUUUUGGAUCCAAGUGGCAGGUUUUGAUUGUUGAAUUUUUAUUUAAAAUAAGCAGUACGUUCACAUGGGAAAAAAAUCCGAACAUAAAAAAGUCUCUCUUCGACUCCUGCGCUUCAUCUCGCAUUUCUUCUCUCCAGAGGUAACAGCUGUUCACAGUUUUCUGGAUAUCUUUAGAGAUAUUCUAGCA
This 348-nucleotide long non-coding RNA is filed under the name Bos taurus (domestic cattle). RNAcentral's name for it is "long non-coding RNA NONBTAT012096". Lineage: Eukaryota; Metazoa; Chordata; Mammalia; Artiodactyla; Bovidae. The record is from RNAcentral.